AUACAAAGGCUUGGCUAAUACUGCAAAGUUUGGGAUCCACAGUCUACAAAACCCCACAUCCCCUGAGAAUUCUCUCGCCUGCCUUAGGCACUUAGGCUCCGGGAGAUUGCAAAUAACCUGCUUUCUUUCUGUUCCCGGGCUGCGUUCGGACUCCUGUCAGAUAGUAAAUCCUAAGUGGCGUCGGACCCCUGUCAGAGAGUAAAUCUCAAGUAAGGUACCUGCCAUCGGCAGAUUUGAGCUUUCUUCUUGGACACCUAAUACCCACAGUCCUCCAGGCUCCGGUAGACUGCAAAUGACCUGCUUUCUUUCUGUUCCCGGGCUGCGUUUGGACCCCUGUCGGAUAGUAAAUCCCAAGUAAGGUACCUGCCCUCGGCAGAUUUGAGCUUUCUUCUUGGACACCUAAUACCCACAGUCCCCCAGGCUCCGGUAGACUGCAAAUGACCUGCUUUCUUUCUGUUCCCGGGCUGCGUUUGGACCCCUGUCGGACAGUAAAUCCCAAGUAAGGAAUGGAACAGAUAAGAAGAUACUGAAAUUGGACGGUGCUGCCGUGCGGCUGCCGCAGGACACCUUUAAUAUCCCUGUUUCUCAGGCUGUAGAUGAAGGGGUUCAGCAUGGAGGUGAUCACCGUGUACAUCACUGAGGCCACUGCAGCCUUUCUCGGGGAAGAUGACACAUCUGAACUGAGGUACCCUCCAAAGCCUGUUCCGUAAAAUCAGCAAACAACUGACAGGAUAACUUCAGGAAGUGGGUAUUAAUUCUCACGGUAUAAGUGAAGACAUUAAGCACCAGAGUUUAAGUAGCUUGAUCCACUGAAAGAGAUUCAACUGUGUGGAACCUAUGCCGUGGAGAAUUGCUUUCUGCCAUUGUUAUCGUCCAGCAGUUGCCGAAUAGCUCUGACCUGAGCAAAGCAGUGAAACGCGGUGCUGUUGAGUGGGUUGCCACUGCACCUUUUUCAACUACUCUAGUCUUGUGGAGAAAAUACCCCUUCUAAAUUUUUUCUUCAUUGAAUACUCUCCCUCAGCUCCAGAGUACCAUAUAGAGUUUUCUUGUAUUUUAGAGUUACUGUUUUAUCAAAGUUUACCAGUCUUUUGUAUUACAUUUCUCCUGUCUAAAUCGACUGUGUGGUUUCUACUCAUUAUGGAUAUAGAUUGAUACAAACUCAAUAAAUAUUUUUGAAUGAAUAA
This 1184-nucleotide long non-coding RNA is filed under the name Homo sapiens (human). Its description in RNAcentral is "long intergenic non-protein coding RNA 1198". The record is from RNAcentral. Lineage: Eukaryota; Metazoa; Chordata; Mammalia; Primates; Hominidae.